This 107-nucleotide small nuclear RNA is filed under the name Catagonus wagneri (Chacoan peccary). Lineage: Eukaryota; Metazoa; Chordata; Mammalia; Artiodactyla; Tayassuidae. The record is from RNAcentral.
GUGUUCACUUCAGCAGCACAUAUACUAAACUUGGAAUGAUACAGAGAAGAUUAACAUGGCCCCUGUGCAAAGAUAGCAUGAAAAUUCAUGAAGUGUUCCAUAUUUUA